GACUAGCAACCCAAGUGGUGGUCACGUUUAUUUGGCUUAAAGCGUCCGUAGUCAGGCCAGUAAGUUUUCUGUGAAAUCCUAACGCUUAACGCUAGGGCUUGCAGAGAAUACUGUUGGUCUUGGAGCCGGGAGAGGUUGGGGGAAUUCAUAGGGUAGCGGCGAAAUGCUAUAAUCCUGUGAGGACCACCGACAGCGAAGGCACCCAACUAGAACGGGCUCGACGAUGAGGGACGAGAGCUAGGGGAGCAAACCGG
This 254-nucleotide ribosomal RNA is filed under the name uncultured bacterium. RNAcentral describes it as "partial 16S ribosomal RNA". It matches the Rfam family "Archaeal small subunit ribosomal RNA", at positions 474 to 727 of the family's 1478-position model. The record is from RNAcentral.